CUCAAAACCUCUUAUAAACACAAAUUUUAACCCAAAAACUCAAAAAUCCAACCCAAAUUACUGGAUCGAAAAACCCUCAAUUCGAAAAAAAACCUAAGCCUCUAAACCUUCCAAAUUCAGUGAUUUGAACAACAAACCAACACAAAUUAAGGAAAGUAAAGAAAUGAUAAGCCAGAAUCAUCAACAAAUGAGUCAAAAGGGUGCAAAAUUGAAGGGUGCAUAAAAG
RNAcentral lists this long non-coding RNA (226 nucleotides) under Lathyrus oleraceus (garden pea). RNAcentral describes it as "Pisum sativum (pea) long non-coding RNA (PSAT_LNC003407)". The record is from RNAcentral. Lineage: Eukaryota; Viridiplantae; Streptophyta; Magnoliopsida; Fabales; Fabaceae.